AAAGUUUUAGGGUCUGAAGAAAGUGUUUCAUUCUCUUCCAUCCUCCUUUCUCGGCUGCUCCCCUGCGUUUCUCACUCUCCCUUUUCUUUGCCUCCGCCGCAACUCCUUCGUCCAUCGAUUUCAGUAACUGUACAGUUUCAUUCUUCAGACUUUCAAGUGUAUGAUGUCGUUUCUAAGGUCUAUACUGCGAGCAACAACUCAUCACCGUUCAUCACUCAAAACACACAUUCGUCCCUUUAGCAAUCUACCAGAAAACACAGUAUAUUCAGGACCCAAACAACAAAACCAAAGAGUAACACUAUCACAAUUAAGACUUAAACAUCGAAACUCACAACCAAUCACAAUGGUCACUGCUUACGAUUACCCUUCUGCUGUUCACCUUGAUAUAGCAAACAUUGAUAUCUGUCUUGUUGGUGAUUCUGCUUCCAUGGUUGUUCAUGGUCAUGAUACUACCUUACCCAUUACUCUCGAUGAAAUGCUUGUUCAUUGUCGUGCUGUUGCUCGUGGUGCUAAAACUCCUCUUCUUGUUGGUGACUUGCCUUUUGGUACCUAUGAAUGUAGUUCUAAACAGGCAGUUGAUGCGGCGGUUCGGAUUUUGAAAGAAGGGGGAAUGGAUGCAAUUAAAUUGGAAGGAGGUUCACCUUCAAGAAUUGUUGCAGCAAAAGCUAUUGUUGAAGCUGGAAUAGCUGUGAUAGGGCAUGUUGGUCUUACUCCUCAAGCCAUUAGUGUUUUAGGAGGAUUUAGGCCUCAAGGAAGGAAUGUUGCUAGUGCUGUCAAGGUUGUGGAGACUGCGUUGGCUUUGCAAGAAGCAGGGUGUUUUGCUGUUGUUCUAGAAUGUGUGCCUGCACCAGUGGCUGCCGCAGCAACCGCAGCGCUUCAAAUUCCUACAAUUGGAAUUGGGGCUGGACCCUAUUGUAGUGGACAGGUGCUUGUUUACCAUGAUCUUCUUGGUAUGUUACAACACCCCCACCAUGCAAAGGUUACUCCAAAAUUUUGUAAACAAUAUGCUCGUGUCGGAGAUGUCAUCAAUAAAGCCUUACUGGAUUAUAAGGAAGAUGUGACAAAUGGUUCAUUUCCUGAUGCUCUCCAUAGUCCAUAUAAAAUCAGUGAAACUGAUGCUAAUGGUUUCUUAAGUGAGCUGCAAAAGUUAGGUUUUGACAAGGCAGCAUCUGCGGCGUCUGAAGCAGUUCAGAAGAUGGUUACAAAAUCAACAAAGUGACAAUUUAAUAAAUCUACAGAUUCCUCUUCCAUUUUUCAUUUGAGGUUCUUCUUCUUUUCUUCAAUGACCGAAUAAAUUGAAGGAUGCAGUUGAUGCGGCGGUUCGGAUUUCAAAAGAAGGGGGAAAUGGAUGCAAUUAAAUUUGUAGGAGGUUCACCUUCAAGAAUUGUUGCAGCAAAAGCUAUUGUUGAAGCCGGAAUAGCUGUGAUAGGGCAUGUUGGUCUUACUCCUCAAGCCAUUAGUGUUUUAGGAGGAUUUAGGCCUCAAGGAAGGAAUGUUGCUAGUGCUGUCAAGGUUUAUAUCUCUAUUUUUUCAUGCAUGAUCCAAUUUUUACGUAUCCUAAAAUGAAUUU
Cicer arietinum (chickpea) is the source of this 1570-nucleotide RNA transcript. It is a transcript of the gene named 3-methyl-2-oxobutanoate hydroxymethyltransferase 1, mitochondrial-like, with no coding region annotated. Lineage: Eukaryota; Viridiplantae; Streptophyta; Magnoliopsida; Fabales; Fabaceae. The record is from RefSeq and is a predicted model, not a curated record.